This 253-nucleotide ribosomal RNA is filed under the name uncultured bacterium. RNAcentral's name for it is "partial 16S ribosomal RNA". It matches the Rfam family "Bacterial small subunit ribosomal RNA", at positions 524 to 776 of the family's 1533-position model. The record is from RNAcentral.
UACGUAGGGAGCAAGCGUUGUCCGGAAUCAUUGGGCGUAAAGCGCGCGUAGGUGGCUUCGUAAGUCCGUUGUGAAAGUCAAAGGCUCAACCUUUGAAUGCCGAUGGAUACUGCGGAGCUAGAGUACGGAAGAGGCGAGUGGAAUUCCUGGUGUAGCGGUGGAAUGCGCAGAUAUCAGGAGGAACACCGGUGGCGAAGGCGGGUCUCUGGGCCGGUACCGACGCUGAGGAGCGAAAGCGUGGGGAGCGAACAGG